Peromyscus maniculatus bairdii (prairie deer mouse) is the source of this 131-nucleotide non-coding RNA. NCBI's taxonomy places the organism in Eukaryota, Metazoa, Chordata, Mammalia, Rodentia, Cricetidae. The record is from RefSeq and is a predicted model, not a curated record.
GAUUUUUCUGCAAUGCUGGGGCAUCCAUAUUCAGCCUACAGGCCUAGUAUAUCUGACAGACUUUUCUGUGAAAGAGAUAUUCUGAAGGACUCCCCUACCUUAUCUUGGCAAAGUGUGGUGGUCCUGUGUGU